AGGGGGCGGAUGUAGCCAAGUGGUUAAGGCAGUGGAUUGUGAAUCCACCAUGCGCGA
RNAcentral lists this transfer RNA (57 nucleotides) under Rhododendron thomsonii. RNAcentral's name for it is "partial tRNA-His". It matches the Rfam family "tRNA", at positions 1 to 50 of the family's 71-position model. Rfam says of the family: Transfer RNA (tRNA) molecules are approximately 80 nucleotides in length. Their secondary structure includes four short double-helical elements and three loops (D, anti-codon, and T loops). Further hydrogen bonds mediate the characteristic L-shaped molecular structure. tRNAs have two regions of fundamental functional importance: the anti-codon, which is responsible for specific mRNA codon recognition, and the 3' end, to which the tRNAs corresponding amino acid is attached (by aminoacyl-tRNA synthetases). tRNAs cope with the degeneracy of the genetic code in two manners: having more than one tRNA (with a specific anti-codon) for a particular amino acid; and 'wobble' base-pairing, i.e. permitting non-standard base-pairing at the 3rd anti-codon position. The record is from RNAcentral. Lineage: Eukaryota; Viridiplantae; Streptophyta; Magnoliopsida; Ericales; Ericaceae.